RNAcentral lists this long non-coding RNA (307 nucleotides) under Prunus persica (peach). Its description in RNAcentral is "long non-coding RNA (PPER_LNC003559)". The record is from RNAcentral. Lineage: Eukaryota; Viridiplantae; Streptophyta; Magnoliopsida; Rosales; Rosaceae.
UUCAAUGAUGGCAACUCGCUUGGGAGCUAAGUUGCAUCUUUUCUACGCUACUGGCUUGAUGGCUGGGUUAACGUGAAAGCAAUGGCAGAUGAUCUGGGGAUUGAUGCCUUGUAUGUAGGAUGAUGACCAUGCAAAUACGUCUUUGUUGUUAUGGUGGAAGGCUGCAAGCUAUGCCUUCUCCUCCUGGCUUAGGCACGAGCCGAUCCGCUUUUUUCUCUUUGGCUUGUCAGGAUCAAGGGGUACUAGCUUGAUGUCCUCUUCGGGCAUCUAUCCUUCCUCAGCAGAAGCCUCCGAACAGAUUCCCUCG